This 1351-nucleotide ribosomal RNA is filed under the name Proteus mirabilis. RNAcentral describes it as "partial 23S ribosomal RNA". It matches the Rfam family "Bacterial large subunit ribosomal RNA", at positions 1597 to 2925 of the family's 2925-position model. Lineage: Bacteria; Pseudomonadati; Pseudomonadota; Gammaproteobacteria; Enterobacterales; Morganellaceae. The record is from RNAcentral.
AUGCCCCGCUUCCAGGAAAAGCCUCUAAGCUUCAGGUUACCAACAAUCGUACCCCAAACCGACACAGGUGGUCAGGUAGAGAAUACUCAGGCGCUUGAGAGAACUCGGGUGAAGGAACUAGGCAAAAUGGUGCCGUAACUUCGGGAGAAGGCACGCUGGCGGUAGGUAAAGUCCCUCGCGGACGGCGCUGAAGCCAGUCGAAGAUACCAGCUGGCUGCAACUGUUUAUUAAAAACACAGCACUGUGCAAACACGAAAGUGGACGUAUACGGUGUGACGCCUGCCCGGUGCUGGAAGGUUAAUUGAUGGGGUUAGCGUAAGCGAAGCUCCUGAUCGAAGCCCCAGUAAACGGCGGCCGUAACUAUAACGGUCCUAAGGUAGCGAAAUUCCUUGUCGGGUAAGUUCCGACCUGCACGAAUGGCGUAAUGAUGGCCAGGCUGUCUCCACCCGAGACUCAGUGAAAUUGAACUCGCUGUGAAGAUGCAGUGUACCCGCGGCAAGACGGAAAGACCCCGUGAACCUUUACUAUAGCUUGACACUGAACAUUGAGCCUUGAUGUGUAGGAUAGGUGGGAGGCUUUGAAGUGUGGACGCCAGUCUGCAUGGAGCCAACCUUGAAAUACCACCCUUUAACGUUUGAUGUUCUAACCUAGGCCCAUAAACUGGGUCGGGGACCGUGUCUGGUGGGUAGUUUGACUGGGGCGGUCUCCUCCUAAAGAGUAACGGAGGAGCACGAAGGUUGGCUAAGCAUGGUCGGACAUCAUGCGGUUAGUGCAAAGGCAUAAGCCAGCUUGACUGCGAGAGUGACGGCUCGAGCAGGUACGAAAGUAGGUCUUAGUGAUCCGGUGGUUCUGAAUGGAAGGGCCAUCGCUCAACGGAUAAAAGGUACUCCGGGGAUAACAGGCUGAUACCGCCCAAGAGUUCAUAUCGACGGCGGUGUUUGGCACCUCGAUGUCGGCUCAUCACAUCCUGGGGCUGAAGUAGGUCCCAAGGGUAUGGCUGUUCGCCAUUUAAAGUGGUACGCGAGCUGGGUUUAGAACGUCGUGAGACAGUUCGGUCCCUAUCUGCCGUGGGCGUUGGAAGAUUGAGAGGGGUUGCUCCUAGUACGAGAGGACCGGAGUGAACGCACCACUGGUGUUCGGGUUGUCAUGCCAAUGGCAUUGCCCGGUAGCUAAGUGCGGAAGAGAUAACCGCUGAAAGCAUCUAAGCGGGAAACUUGCCUCGAGAUGAGUCUUCCCUGUCGCUUUAAGCGACCUAAAGGAACGUUUAAGACUAAGACGUUGAUAGGCUGGGUGUGUAAGCGUAGCGAUACGUUGAGCUAACCAGUACUAAUGAACCGUGAGGCUUAACCUG